This 247-nucleotide ribosomal RNA is filed under the name uncultured bacterium. Its description in RNAcentral is "partial 16S ribosomal RNA". It matches the Rfam family "Bacterial small subunit ribosomal RNA", at positions 524 to 776 of the family's 1533-position model. The record is from RNAcentral.
UACAGAGGAGCCAAGCGUUGUCCGGAUUGACUGGGCGUAAAGCGCACGCAGGCGGACGCGCGCGUGGGUGUGAAAUCUGGCCGCUUAACGGCCAGGCGCCAUCCCAUACGGCGCGUCUGGAGUGAUGCAGAGGUCGGUGGAAUUGCCGGUGUAGUGGUGAAUGCGUAGAGAUCGGCAGGAACACCAGGGCAACCGAGCCGACUGGCAUGCUACUGACGCUGAGGUGCGAGAGCGUGGAGCGAACCGG